Molecule: ribosomal RNA, 752 nt
Filed under: Microbacterium sp.
Lineage: Bacteria; Bacillati; Actinomycetota; Actinomycetes; Micrococcales; Microbacteriaceae
Description: bacterial SSU rRNA
Rfam family: Bacterial small subunit ribosomal RNA
Source: RNAcentral
GCUUGCUCUGUGGGAUCAGUGGCGAACGGGUGAGUAACACGUGAGCAACCUGCCCCUGACUCUGGGAUAAGCGCUGGAAACGGCGUCUAAUACUGGAUACGAGUAGCGACCGCAUGGUCAGUUACUGGAAAGAUUUUUUGGUUGGGGAUGGGCUCGCGGCCUAUCAGCUUGUUGGUGAGGUAAUGGCUCACCAAGGCGUCGACGGGUAGCCGGCCUGAGAGGGUGACCGGCCACACUGGGACUGAGACACGGCCCAGACUCCUACGGGAGGCAGCAGUGGGGAAUAUUGCACAAUGGGCGAAAGCCUGAUGCAGCAACGCCGCGUGAGGGAUGACGGCCUUCGGGUUGUAAACCUCUUUUAGCAGGGAAGAAGCGAAAGUGACGGUACCUGCAGAAAAAGCGCCGGCUAACUACGUGCCAGCAGCCGCGGUAAUACGUAGGGCGCAAGCGUUAUCCGGAAUUAUUGGGCGUAAAGAGCUCGUAGGCGGUUUGUCGCGUCUGCUGUGAAAUCCCGAGGCUCAACCUCGGGCCUGCAGUGGGUACGGGCAGACUAGAGUGCGGUAGGGGAGAUUGGAAUUCCUGGUGUAGCGGUGGAAUGCGCAGAUAUCAGGAGGAACACCGAUGGCGAAGGCAGAUCUCUGGGCCGUAACUGACGCUGAGGAGCGAAAGGGUGGGGAGCAAACAGGCUUAGAUACCCUGGUAGUCCACCCCGUAAACGUUGGGAACUAAUUGUGGGGUCCAUUCCACGGAUU